RNAcentral lists this long non-coding RNA (1985 nucleotides) under Sorghum bicolor (sorghum). RNAcentral describes it as "long non-coding RNA (SBIC_LNC014781)". Lineage: Eukaryota; Viridiplantae; Streptophyta; Magnoliopsida; Poales; Poaceae. The record is from RNAcentral.
CAAAAAAUCCACCAGCACAAUAGAAAAUACGCGUUUCAUUUUCUCAAAAGCGCUGAAUCCCUCUCUACCCUGGGAACUCCACCUCCUUUGCAAAUGUGCUAACACCACCAAGUGUACACCACCAUGUGCAAGUGUGUUAGCAUUUUCACAAAUAUUUUCCCAAAUGAGUUAGGUUAGCACUUUACUAGAUCCUAAUGCAUAUGCUCAAGAUAUGGACCUAUAGUAGCACUUGAUUCGAGAGAUGACCGUGAUUUCUCCUCUUGAUAGUUGGCUAUCGAACCUAAAACCGGUCAAUCACUUCUCUACUCAUCAUAGACCGACAAAAGCAAAACCCUAUGUUUAUACCUUUGCCUUGAUCACUUAACUCCUUGUAUAUCAUCAUGAUCUCCACUUUAUGCUUCAUCUCAUUGUAAUCAUGUGGCCACCUUUCCAUGCCACCUUUCACCUUCAUCAUAUGUGUUGCUAUGCCUAACUCAAAUCACUUAAACACAAGACAUUAGCAACUUGGUGUCAUUAAUUACCAAAACCAAACUUGGGCUUUCAACUACUGGUUACAUAUCCUCAGAAAGGUCCCUUAAAAUUUUCCAAAAACAGAAGACCCUCUAACUUUUUUGUACCAAAUAGCAAGAGGCUCGGAGCUACACUUGGUGAGUGCGUUGUUUCCAAAACAAAAAACACACAUCACCCAAGAAAAUUCCGGAAGGAUCACUCUAAGGUUUCUCUCAAAAACAACUUGGACAAAACUUGUUCCUUUCAGUCAAGACCAGAAGGAACAAAGACAACUUUUAAAAUCGACCAUGGAACACUCGGGGGCUUGUCGGUACGGGAUCCCCAGGGUUCCUCACCAGCAGGUUACGGGAAGGUGGGCCUGGGCCUGGCUCAUGGUUCUAGAAGGAAACAAAGCAAAGCGUGUCUCCGACUCCAAGUAUAUAUAAUCAAGGUGGACUAGGCGGAUUCUUGUAGGAAGUACCUUCUGUAUUAGAAACGGAACACUAUCUAUGAAUCUGUCUAGGAUAAGAAGUCACUCCUCAGCCUUCUCUACAGAUAUAAAGAGAGGCUAAGGGCACCCCAUGUAACAACGAAUAAUACAAUACACGCAAUACAACGCAAAGGCUAACGCCAACUAGAUAUAAAGGCUAUUACUCAAGAUCGAACUCGAGGGCCCGAAUCAGGAUAAAUCGACUAUCCCUUGCAUUAACCAUCAAGUUUCAGCAUAUGUCGAAGCCCGAACAACUUUCCCGAAUACCCCCGUGGUAGGCUAUCGGUGGUAAAACAUUGACACUCACUACAGAGGAUUUCAGGUGAAGCUGUAUGCUACUAAGAGGGUAUCACCUAACUCACUGCCGCUAACUGUGGUUAGUAGACCUUGUGUUCAUACCUAUGAAGCAAAGGAGAGUUUCCUGUUAAAUACCUUUUCAUCCAUGCAAUUUGUGGAUACAAAAUUGGUGACCUACACUUCACCGAGUUCAUGAUACGACAUAGUCAACUAUAUAAUUCAAUGUAGACAAGUUGUGCUUGUAUCAACUUGGUGUGUAGUUGAACUUUGGGAGUACAUGGAGUCUUGGACAUGCAUCUAGUUGGUAAUGACUUGUUUUAAAUUGUGAUGGUUUAAUUGUAUGAAUUUGGUGAAUGCGGAUGAUCAUUGUAAUAUAAAUCUAAGCUUUUCAUUAGUUUUGUUAUUAUUGAUGGAUGAUAUAUACAAUAAUAUAACAUAUCUAAUACUGCAAAAGAAAAGAAAAAGAAAAAAACAGAACACAGAAUAUUUAGUCUUAGUUGGUUACUAGGUAGCGUACCCGUGCGUUGCUACGGGAUAACUAAUAUUUUAUACUUAAAACAUACAGAUCGCACAAUAAGAUAAUAAUAUUAUAGAAAUUAAAUACCAAUAUUAAAAUAAUAUUUAAUUUAAAAAAUAAAGUUUAUAAAAUUAAUACAGUCAUAGAGACUGCGGCAUCGCAAACUCAUAAACUAUACUCCCUCCAUCCCAA